RNAcentral lists this ribosomal RNA (463 nucleotides) under uncultured bacterium. Its description in RNAcentral is "partial 16S ribosomal RNA". It matches the Rfam family "Bacterial small subunit ribosomal RNA", at positions 339 to 795 of the family's 1533-position model. The record is from RNAcentral.
CUACGGGUCGCUCCAGUGGGGAAUAUUGGACAAUGGGCGGAAGCCUGAUCCAGCAAUACCGCGUGUGUGAAGAAGGCCCGAGGGUUGUAAAGCACUUUCAAUGGGGAGGAAAAAGCGAAGGUUAAUACCCUUUGAAUUGACAUUACCCAUACAAGAAGCACCGGCUAACUCCGUGCCAGCAGCCGCGGUAAUACGGAGGGUGCGAGCGUUAAUCGGAAUUACUGGGCGUAAAGCGUGCGUAGGCGGCCUGCCAAGCCAGAUGUGAAAGCCCCGGGCUCAACCUGGGAACGGCAUUUGGAACUGGUGAGCUAGAGUUAGGUAGAGGGGAGUGGAAUUUCAGGUGUAGCGGUGAAAUGCGUAGAUAUCUGAAGGAACACCAGUGGCGAAGGCGGCUCCCUGGACCCAAACUGACGCUGAGGUACGAAAGCGUGGGUAGCAAACAGGAUUAGAUACCCUUGUAGUC